UGAUCAGCCACACUGGAACUGAGACACGGUCCAGACUCCUACGGGAGGCAGCAGUAGGGAAUAUUGGACAAUGGGCGCAAGCCUGAUCCAGCCAUGCCGCGUGAGUGAAGAAGGCCCUCGGGUUGUAAAGCUCUUUUGUCCGGAAAGAAAAGCGCCGGGUUAAUACCCUGGUGUCCUGACGGUACCGGAAGAAUAAGCACCGGCUAACUUCGUGCCAGCAGCCGCGGUAAUACGAAGGGUGCAAGCGUUACUCGGAAUUACUGGGCGUAAAGCGUGCGUAGGUGGUUCGUUAAGUCCGAUGUGAAAGCCCUGGGCUCAACCUGGGAAUGGCAUUGGAUACUGGCGGGCUAGAGUGCGGUAGAGGGUAGUGGAAUUCCCGGUGUAGCAGUGAAAUGCGUAGAGAUCGGGAGGAACAUCCGUGGCGAAGGCGACUACCUGGACCAGCACUGACACUGAGGCACGAAAGCGUGGGGAGCAAACAGGAUUAGAUACCCUGGUAGUCCACGCCGUAAACUAUGAGAGCUAGCCGUUGGAGGAUUUAUCCUUCAGUGGCGCAGCUAACGCAUUAAGCUCUCCGCCUGGGGAGUACGGUCGCAAGAUUAAAACUCAAGGAAUUGACGGGGACCCGCACAAGCGGUGGAUGAUGUGGUUUAAUUCGAUGCAACGCGAAAACCUUACCUACAC
This 684-nucleotide ribosomal RNA is filed under the name uncultured bacterium. RNAcentral's name for it is "bacterial SSU rRNA". It matches the Rfam family "Bacterial small subunit ribosomal RNA", at positions 301 to 980 of the family's 1533-position model. The record is from RNAcentral.